AACGAACGCUGGCGGCAGGCCUAACACAUGCAAGUCGAGCGAGAUCGUCCGGUCUAGCGGCGGAGGGGUGAGUAACGCGUGGGAAUAUGCCUCUUGGUACGGAAUCGCCUCGGGAAACUGGGAGUAAUACCGUAUGUGCCAUUUGCGGGAAAGAUUUAUCGCCAAGAGAUUAGCCCGCGUUGGAUUAGGUAGUUGGUGGGGUAAUGGCCGACCAAGCGGUCGAUCCUUGGCUGGUUGGAGAGGAUGGCCAGCCACGAUGGGAAUGAGACACGGCCCAGACUCCUACGGGAGGCAGCAGUGGGGAAUCCUAGACACGGGGGGCAACCCUGAUCUCGCCAUGCCGCGUGAGUGAUGCAGGCGUUAGGGUUGUAAAGCUCUUUGAGCUGGGAAGAGAAUGACGGUACCAGCAGAAGAAGCCCCGGCUAACUCCGUG
This 433-nucleotide ribosomal RNA is filed under the name uncultured bacterium. RNAcentral's name for it is "partial 16S ribosomal RNA". It matches the Rfam family "Bacterial small subunit ribosomal RNA", at positions 29 to 507 of the family's 1533-position model. The record is from RNAcentral.